RNAcentral lists this ribosomal RNA (468 nucleotides) under uncultured bacterium. RNAcentral describes it as "partial 16S ribosomal RNA". It matches the Rfam family "Bacterial small subunit ribosomal RNA", at positions 28 to 507 of the family's 1533-position model. The record is from RNAcentral.
GACGAACGCUGGCGGCGGGCUUAACACAUGCAAGUCGAACGGAAAGGCCCUGCUUUUUUGGGGUGCUCGAGUGGCGAACGGGUGAGUAACACGUGAGUAACCUGCCCUGGACUUUGGGAUAACUUCAGGAAACUGGGGCUAAUACCGGAUAGGCGCUCCUGCUGCAUGGUGGGGGUCGGAAAGUUUCGGCGGUUGGGGAUGGACUCGCGGCUUAUCAGCUUGUUGGUGGGGUAGUGGCUUACCAAGGCUUUGACGGGUAGCCGGCCUGAGAGGGUGACCGGCCAGAUUGGGAAUGAGAUACGGCCAAGACUCCUACGGGAGGCAGCAGUGUGGAAUAUUGCACAAUGGACGGAAGCCGGAUGCAGCAACGCCGCGUGCGGGAUGACGGCCUUCGGGUUGUAGACCGCUUUCGCCUGUGACGAAGCGUGAGUGACGGGAAUGGGUAGCGAAGCACCGGCUAACUACGUG